CCUACGGGAGGCUGCAGUGAGGAAUAUUGGUCAAUGGCCGAGAGGCUGAACCAGCCAAGUCGCGUGAGGGAAGACGGCCCUACGGGUUGUAAACCUCUUUUGUCGGGGAGCAAAGCGAACCACGUGUGGUUCAUUGAGAGUACCCGAAGAAAAAGCAUCGGCUAACUCCGUGCCAGCAGCCGCGGUAAUACGAAGGAUGCGAGCGUUAUCCGGAUUUAUUGGGUUUAAGGGGUGCGAGGGGGGAGGUGCAAGUCAGCGGUAAAAUUGCGGGGCUCAACCCCGUACUGCCGUUGAAACUGCAUCCCUUGAGUGCACGAGAGGUAUGCGGAAUGCGUGGUGUAGCGGUGAAAUGCAUAGAGAUCACGCAGAACUCCGAUUGCGAAGGCAGCAUACCGGCGCGCAACUGACGCUCAUGCACGAAAGCGUGGGUAGCGAACAGGAUUAGAUACCCCUGUAGUC
RNAcentral lists this ribosomal RNA (459 nucleotides) under uncultured bacterium. RNAcentral's name for it is "partial 16S ribosomal RNA". It matches the Rfam family "Bacterial small subunit ribosomal RNA", at positions 338 to 795 of the family's 1533-position model. The record is from RNAcentral.